UACGGGGGGGGCAAGCGUUGUUCGGAAUUACUGGGCGUAAAGGGCUCGUAGGCGGCCAACUAAGUCAUACGUGAAAUCCCUCGGCUUAACCGGGGAACUGCGUCUGAUACUGGAUGGCUUGAGUUCGGGAGAGGGAUGCGGAAUUCCAGGUGUAGCGGUGAAAUGCGUAGAUAUCUGGAGGAACACCAAUGGCGAAGGCAGCACUCUGGGACGUGACUGACGCUGAGACGCGAAAGCGUGGGGAGCAAACAGG
RNAcentral lists this ribosomal RNA (253 nucleotides) under uncultured bacterium. Its description in RNAcentral is "partial 16S ribosomal RNA". It matches the Rfam family "Bacterial small subunit ribosomal RNA", at positions 524 to 776 of the family's 1533-position model. The record is from RNAcentral.